GUAAAAGCCAGGGAGGGAGCUGCGGUAAACCGGAGGGGGAGAGCGUUAAUCGGAAUUACUGGGCGGAAGGCGAACGCAGGCGGUUGGAUAAGUUAGAUGUGAAAGCCCCGGGCUCAACCUGGGAAUUGCAUUUAAAACUGUCCAGCUAGAGUCUUGUAGAGGGGGGUAGAAUUCCAGGUGUAGCGGUGAAAUGCGUAGAGAUCUGGAGGAAUACCGGUGGCGAAGGCGGCCCCCUGGACAAAGACUGACGCUCAGGUGCGAAAGCGUGGGGAGCAAACAGGAUUAGAUACCCCUGUAGUC
Molecule: ribosomal RNA, 300 nt
Filed under: uncultured Lactobacillus sp.
Lineage: Bacteria; Bacillati; Bacillota; Bacilli; Lactobacillales; Lactobacillaceae
Description: bacterial SSU rRNA
Rfam family: Bacterial small subunit ribosomal RNA
Source: RNAcentral